ACUGCUCAGUAACACGUGGACAACCUACCCUGAAGAGGGGGAUAACCCCGGGAAACUGGGGAUAAUACCCCAUAGACUAUGGAUGCUGGAAUGCUUUGUAGUUGAAAGGUCCGCCGCUUCAGGAUGGGUCUGCGGCCGAUUAGGUUGUUGUUGGGGUAACGGCCCAACAAGCCUGUAAUCGGUACGGGUUGUGGGAGCAAGAGCCCGGAGAUGGAUUCUGGGACACGAACCCAGGCCCUACGGGGCGCAGCAGGCGCGAAAACUUUACAAUGCGAGCAAUCGUGAUAAGGGAACUCCGAGUGCCCGUAAAAUCGGGCUGUCCGCCAGUGUAAAUAACUGGUGAAGAAAGGGCCGGGCAAGACCGGUGCCAGCCGCCGCGGUAAUACCGGCGGCUCGAGUGGUGGCCACUAUUACUGGGCUUAAAGCGUUCGUAGCUGGUCUGUUAAGUCUCUGGGGAAAUCUUCCGGCUUAACCGGAAGGCGUCUCAGGGAUACUGACAGACUAGGGACCGGAAGAGGUGAGAGGUACUCCAGGGGUAGGAGUGAAAUCCUGUAAUCCUUGGGGGACCACCUGUGGCGAAGGCGUCUCACCAGGACGGCUCCGACAGUGAGGAACGAAAGCUGGGGGAGCAAACCGGAUUAGAUACCCGGGUAGUCCCAGCUGUAAACGAUGCGCGUUAGGUGUAUCGGUGACCACGAGUCACCGAGGUGCCGAAGAGAAAUCGUGAAACGCGCCGCCUGGGAAGUACGGUCGCAAGGCUGAAACUUAAAGGAAUUGGCGGGGGAGCAC
This 789-nucleotide ribosomal RNA is filed under the name uncultured archaeon. Its description in RNAcentral is "bacterial SSU rRNA". It matches the Rfam family "Archaeal small subunit ribosomal RNA", at positions 85 to 879 of the family's 1478-position model. The record is from RNAcentral.